GAUGAACGCUGACAGAAUGCUUAACACAUGCAAGUCUUUGGCGAAUCUGUGCUUGCACAGGCUAGCCAAGGCGGACGGGUGAGUAACGCGUAAAGAACUUGCCCUGCAGACAGGGAUAACAGACGGAAACGACUGAUAACACCUGAUACAGUUGCCGGCACGCAUGUGCCUGGCAAUGAAAAGAGAUGCUGCAGGAGAGCUUUGCGUCCUAUUAGCUUGUUGGUGAGGUGACGGCUCACCAAGGCGAUGAUAGGUAGCCGGCCUGAGAGGGUGAACGGCCACAAGGGGACUGAGAUACGGCCCUUACUCCUACGGGAGGCAGCAGUGAGGAAUAUUGGACAAUGGGGGCAACCCUGAUCCAGCAAUUCUGUGUGCACGAAGAAGGUUUUCGGAUUGUAAAGUGCUUUCAGCAGGGAAGAAGAAAGUGACGGUACCUGCAGAAGAAGCGACGGCUAAAUACGUG
This 463-nucleotide ribosomal RNA is filed under the name uncultured bacterium. RNAcentral describes it as "partial 16S ribosomal RNA". It matches the Rfam family "Bacterial small subunit ribosomal RNA", at positions 28 to 507 of the family's 1533-position model. The record is from RNAcentral.